AACGUAGGUCCCGAGCGUUAUCCGGAUUUACUGGGCGUAAAGCGCGUUCAGGCGGUCGGCUCAGUCGGGCAUGAAAUCUCUCGGCUCAACCGGGAGAGGUUGUCCGAUACUGGUCGACUUGAGGGCAGUAGAGGGUGGUGGAAUUCCGGGUGUAGUGGUGAAAUGCGUAGAGAUCCGGAGGAACACCAGUGGCGAAGGCGGCCACCUGGACUGCCCCUGACGCUGACACGCGAAAGCUAGGGGAGCGAACGGG
Molecule: ribosomal RNA, 253 nt
Filed under: uncultured bacterium
Lineage: Bacteria
Description: partial 16S ribosomal RNA
Rfam family: Bacterial small subunit ribosomal RNA
Source: RNAcentral